ACAGUGGCAAAAUACAGCCGUGAUUAUAGUUUUCAUAAGGAAAUGAUAAUGGCCCAAAAAUGGAUCAGUGAUUCACAAUGGUAGCUGGGGAUCCCCUUUGCCCUCAGUGGAUAUAUGUUAUACUAGUUUCGCACAAAGGUCGAUAAAAGACUUAACAAAACAUACAUAUGGUUAAGGAUAUUAUUUGAAACUCUAUGAUAAUUUGUAUGAUGAUUCUUCUGUUUAUUGAGUAUGCUACUUGUACUAAUUGCAUCUUCGUGAUGAUUCAUAUGAUAGUUAUUUUUGUUUGCUGUGUAUGCUGCCUGUACUAAUUGUACCUCUGUGAUAAUUCGUAUGAUGGUU
Molecule: long non-coding RNA, 342 nt
Filed under: Carica papaya (papaya)
Lineage: Eukaryota; Viridiplantae; Streptophyta; Magnoliopsida; Brassicales; Caricaceae
Description: long non-coding RNA (CPAP_LNC011590)
Source: RNAcentral